This 756-nucleotide long non-coding RNA is filed under the name Struthio camelus australis. Its description in RNAcentral is "lncRNA (ENSSCUG00000009985.1)". The record is from RNAcentral. Lineage: Eukaryota; Metazoa; Chordata; Aves; Struthioniformes; Struthionidae.
UUUCAAUUGCAUCGGCUGCUCUACUGAUCUGAAAGUCUUGCUUUCCUUUGGUUAGGGAAAACCUAACACUGCCUAAAUAAUUAAGCAAAUGAUAUACCCUUAAAGAAAUGAGAAAAUACUGUUUGUUAGAGACAACUCCUUUAAAAUCACCACCUGAAACCACAGUCGCGUGUGUGUAAGGCUCACAGCAGUCGUCAGUGGCAUGAUGGUCAACACAGCAGUGGUUUUCCUGAAUUCCUCAAAGGAAAACAAGAGUAGGAGUGGAGCAGUUGUGCGAAGUAGUAGCAAUAUAUAUCCAGCAAAACAGAGAUUUCCCUAAACUGUUGUGGAGAAAUGUCUCAACUUUGUUACAUUGUUAGGUUUCUCCAGUACAAAGGAAGCGAUACUCUGAGGUCAAUUGGGUAGCUUGGGUGGUGUAAUCACUCCUGAACUUCCUCUUCUGGGCAUAUCACUUGUUAGAGACAGACUAGCUGUUCCGCAGAGUCAAAAGAGAGUCAUAUCUUUCUUCCUGGAGGGUAUAUGGGUUAGGGGGAGGCGAGAGAGGAAGGAAGGCAGGGGAAACAACUGGCCUCUUCAUUCCUUUUCUUUAUUCGUGUUUUCAAUGGGGCUAUAAAUGUCAGUUCCUUCCUAAUGGAUCUGGAGAUUGAAGCACUCCUGCUACUGAAAAGGUUGAUAUGGCUCGAGCAGCAAUGGUUUCGGGCAGUUGAUUUUGCUGGAGAAUUUCUCAGAGGGCAAGUGAAUGGAUCCCAUUUAUGA